CCCCGCCCGCCGCCGAGCCUCCUCCGCGGGGGGCUCCGGGGGGCUGCGGGGGGCUGCGGGGACUUCCUUUCCCUCCCCACCUGACAAAUUUUGCAAAAGCAAAACAACAACAAAAAGGGAAGGCGUUCUUGGUCCUUGCACUGGGUUCAACUCCCGCCCCCACCCCAAGUCGUCCUCUCACCGUCCCCGAAGCGCGGGCCGCUUCCUGCUGCGUCCCCCGGGUCUAGCCCCCGAGGCCGCUGCUGUCCCUCUGCUACGGACGCAAGGAAGCCCCGCGGGAGCGGGGGCAGCUCGCCUGGGGUCUUGACUACUGACUAGCAAGAAGAAGGGUAAUAGCUGAUGCUUGCUGGGCAACUGGCACUGCGCGAAGCGCUUCUCCCAACGACUCUGAGAGGCAGGCAGGCCAGUCACCACGUCCUGGGUCCUGGGCGGACUUCUGACCUCUUGGACUCCACUCCCUGUCUGCAAGUCGAGGCUGAAAACAAGGCUGUUGUGAAGAGUGACCGAGAUACUACUGGGAGGGAACCCAGGCUUGGCGGGAUGAAGCGACGACCUGGUCCAGCCCGCCCGGCGCACACUCGGCCUCCGCGACCGCCCGCAGGUGUGUGGCACCUGCCCGCCCGCGCUCGCGCCUCCCCGCGGGGGCCGCGCCACGCGCUGCGGCCGAGGCCUGCG
Nyctereutes procyonoides (raccoon dog) is the source of this 675-nucleotide long non-coding RNA. RefSeq lists it as uncharacterized. Lineage: Eukaryota; Metazoa; Chordata; Mammalia; Carnivora; Canidae. The record is from RefSeq and is a predicted model, not a curated record. The transcript has 3 exons.